Pleuronectes platessa (European plaice) is the source of this 1273-nucleotide long non-coding RNA. RefSeq lists it as uncharacterized. Lineage: Eukaryota; Metazoa; Chordata; Actinopteri; Pleuronectiformes; Pleuronectidae. The transcript has 2 exons. The record is from RefSeq and is a predicted model, not a curated record.
AACUGCGGAGUAGAGACAAGAGCAGCAAGACACCGACGUCUUGAUUAGGUCACAGCUCUGAUUUGCGUAAUGCAUCGACGCACAUCUGGCUUAUAAAUAACUAAUACAGCUGUAAAAGAACACAACACAUAUCCGAUUUACUCAAAAAUAAAUCUGGGAGGUGGAUAAAUGACUCAUCGACUCACACAAAACACCAAGCUGAGGAAGAGGAGCACGGUCUUGGAGGUGAAGAUGCCGCAGUCCAUGUUGGGUGGCGGAGGUGCACAGAUGGAUGAAGGAGUGCGGAGACGCCCGGGUCCAGUUUUUAUCCCUCGGAGAACUGCGCUGACGCCGCCAGCUCCACAGCUGCUGCUUCGGUCACAAGUUUUCCUCCGGUUGUCUGACUGUGCAGAGACUGCGUGAUCACAUGGUCACAUGAUUCGGGGAGGAAGGCGAUGAACAGGGGCAGAACAGGUCUGACAGCCAGCCCCUCUCUGGCAGGUAAGAGAUCAGGCGACUUUAAAAUGAAAGACUCACAAUCAGUUGCUGCCCAGCCUGGAUGCUCCCGGAAGAAACCAAACUUCUCCUGUUGCACCUGUUCAGACUCAUUUCUGGACCUGCACAUCUGACUUAAUGUGAACUCGAGAAGGAAAACAAAUGCAGAAACCUGACAAAGCCGAAAUGAGACGUGAUCUCUGCCACAGGAACAAAUCAUCACCCUCAGUAAUCGCAACUACUUAAUGUUUUAAUGGAUCAAGUGAGCAAAGUGGAUCACAGCAGAAUAUCCACAACUUCACAUUCAUUUGAGAUGUUUUUUUUUGUUAUUCGGGGUUAUGUAAAAGGAGUUUUGUUUCAGGCACAGCAUGAAUUCCUAACUGUUCAAUAUGUUACCAUGUAAUGUUUGUUCUUUAUCAUGCUAUUGCACUUAUUGGCACAUUUCGUUCCUCCUGUGUGAUAUGGUUUGUACAAUCAGCUCUGCCUGGCUCUGGUAUGUUGUGAAAAGAAUGUGUGCAGAUCAUGAGAAGAGAAAGACGGCUGUGUAAGUGAAAUCCUGUGUCCCUCCUGUGGCUGCGAGGGAUUUCCUGUGGGGGCACUGGUUUCCUUCCUACAGGGUAUAGACAUGUAGGUUAGAUGAACUUGCGACUCUAAAACGAAUGUGAAUGUAGGAUGUUUGGCCCUGUGAUGGACUGGUGCCUGGUCCAGGGUGGCCAGCUGCCUCCAUCAUUUUGUGCUGGUUUGAAGUGACAUCUACAAAAUGUUGUUUGCCUCAAAUAAAACUGAUGUUUGUAGUUUU